RNAcentral lists this ribosomal RNA (446 nucleotides) under uncultured bacterium. RNAcentral's name for it is "partial 16S ribosomal RNA". It matches the Rfam family "Bacterial small subunit ribosomal RNA", at positions 338 to 795 of the family's 1533-position model. The record is from RNAcentral.
CCUACGGGUGGCAGCAGUCGAGAAUCAUUCACAAUGGGGGAAACCCUGAUGGUGCGACGCCGCGUGGGGGAAUGAAGGUCUUCGGAUUGUAAACCCCUGUCAUGUGGGAGCAAAUUAAAAAGAUAGUACCCCAAGAGGAAGAGACGGCUAACUCUGUGCCAGCAGCCGCGGUAAUACAGAGGUCUCAAGCGUUGUUCGGAAUAACUGGGCGUAAAGCGUGCGUAGGCUGUUUCGUAAGUCGUGUGUGAAAGGCGCGGGCUCAACCCGCGGACGGCACAUGAUACUGCGGGACUAGAGUAAUGGAGGGGGAACCGGAAUUCUCGGUGUAGCAGUGAAAUGCGUAGAUAUCGAGAGGAACACUCGUGGCGAAGGCGGGUUCCUGGACAUUAACUGACGCUGAGGCACGAAGGCCAGGGGAGCGAAAGGGAUUAGAUACCCGGGUAGUC